GUCAGCCACAUCCCUAAUGUUCUCUAAAAUAUGAAUGGCUGAAAAUUUUCCAAAUAUUUAAGUUCUAUCUUCUUUUGACUGACAAUUCCUUCUUUAAUUCAUUUCUCUCUUCUCACAUUUUACUAUGAGCAGAAAUGAGGAACCAAUCUGUUCUUUCAACAUUUGCUUAGAAAUCUCCUCAGCUAAAUAUCCAAUUUUAUUGCUCACAAGUUCUAACUUCUGAAAAACGCUAGCAUGUGAAUGCAAUUUGCCAAGUUAUUUGCCACUUUAGAACAAUAAUAAUCUUUUCUCCACUGUCCAAUAGCUUAUUCUUUAUUUCCACCUGAAACUUCAUGAGAAUGACCUGUCCAAUUCAUAUUUCUCCUAAUAUUUAUACAUGACUAUGUAUUCUCUAAGAAGAUGGAAUCUUCUUCUAUAGCGCUCCUUUUCUGUUUCUGAGCCUUCACCAGAGUAACCUUUAUCAGUGCCUUCAUGGCAAUAUUGACUUUUUCUAGCAUGCACCUCAAAAUUCCUCCAGCCUCUACACCUUACCCAGUUCCAAAGUCACUUCCACAUUUUUAGGUAUUUGUUACAGUAACACCCCACUUCUAUUACCAAUUUAUGUCUUAGGUCCAGCUGCUAUAACUGAAUACCAUAUACUAGGUAGCUUAAACAACAAACAUUUACUGAUCAGAGUUCUGGAGUUUAAGAAACCCAAAGGUCAAGGUGGCAGCAGGUUAGCUCUGGUGAGGGCCUUUUUACUUGCUUCUAUUUAUUGUGAUCCGCCCGCCUCAGACUCCCAAAGUGCUGGGAUUACAGGUGUAAGCCACUGCGCCGGGCAGGAGAGCUGUUUUUUUCAUCCCCUGAAAAGGGUAAUAAUCUCAUCAUGGGAACUCUAUACCCAUAAUCUCAUUCAGCUCUAAUUAUUUCCUAAAGACCUUAAUGCCAAAUAAAAUCAGAUUGGGGAUUAUAUCUUCAACAUAUGAAAUAUCAGAAUAUUUCAUAUUUCAACAUAAAUAUGAAAUAUUCAGUCCAUAGCAUCCCCCAAACUUUAUGCCUACCUAUAAACACAAAAUAUGACCUUAUUUGGAAAUAGAAUCUUUGCACAUGUAAUUAGUUAAGAUGAGGUCAUACUGAAUUAGGGUGAGCCCUAAAUUCAAUAACUGGUACCUCUGUAAGAAGAGGAAAGGACACACAGAGACACAAAGAUACACAAAAUUCAAGGCCAUAUUAGACAGAGACAGAGACUGUAAUAUUGUAGCUACAAGACAAAUAAUGUCAAGGAUUCCUGGGAGCUACUAGAAGCUAGGAAGAAUAAAGAAAGAUUAUUUUUUUCCUAGAGUCUUCAGAGGAAGCACAACCCUGCUAACAACAUUUGGACUUCUUCUUCUUCUUCUUCUUUUUUU
This 1385-nucleotide long non-coding RNA is filed under the name Homo sapiens (human). Its description in RNAcentral is "non-protein coding lnc-CWC22-2:2". The record is from RNAcentral. Lineage: Eukaryota; Metazoa; Chordata; Mammalia; Primates; Hominidae.